AGGGGAAGCGCUUCGGUGCAGAACCUAGCGGCGGACGGGUGAGUAACGCGUGGACAACCUGGCUCAUACAGGGGAAUAAUCACUGGAAACGGUGACUAAUACCGCAUGUCGUAUUCGAUAGGCAUCUAUUGAAUAAAAAAGGAGAAAUCCGGUACGAGAUGGGCCCGCGUCUGAUUAGCUAGUUGGUGAGAAAAAAGCCCACCAAGGCAACGAUCAGUAGCCGACCUGAGAGGGUGAACGGCCACAUUGGGACUGAGACACGGCCCAAACUCCUACGGGAGGCAGCAGUGGGGAAUAUUGCACAAUGGAGGGAACUCUGAUGCAGCAACGCCGCGUGAAGGAAGAAGGUUUUCGGAUUGUAAACUUCUAUCAACAGGGACGAAGGAAGUGACGGUACCUGAAUAAGAAGCCCCGGCUAACUACGUGCCAGCAGCCGCGGUAAUACGUAGGGGGCAAGCGUUAUCCGGAAUUACUGGGUGUAAAGGGAGAGUAGGCGGCAAUUUAAGCCAGAUGUGAAAGCCUAUGGCUUAACCGUAGGAUUGCAUUUGGAACUAAGUAGCUAGAGUACAGGAGAGGAAAGCGGAAUUCCUAGUGUAGCGGUGAAAUGCGUAGAUAUUAGGAAGAACACCUGUGGCGAAGGCGGCUUUCUGGACUGAAACUGACGCUGAGGCUCGAAAGCGUGGGGAGCAAACAGGAUUAGAUACCCUGGUAGUCCACGCUGUAAACGAUGAGUGCUAGGUAUUGGAGGGGAACCUUCGGUGCCGUCGCAAACGCAAUAAGCACUCCACCUGGGGAGUACGACCGCAAGGUUGAAACUCAAAGGAAUUGACGGGGGC
This 836-nucleotide ribosomal RNA is filed under the name uncultured bacterium. Its description in RNAcentral is "bacterial SSU rRNA". It matches the Rfam family "Bacterial small subunit ribosomal RNA", at positions 68 to 920 of the family's 1533-position model. The record is from RNAcentral.